This 253-nucleotide ribosomal RNA is filed under the name uncultured bacterium. RNAcentral's name for it is "partial 16S ribosomal RNA". It matches the Rfam family "Bacterial small subunit ribosomal RNA", at positions 524 to 776 of the family's 1533-position model. The record is from RNAcentral.
UACAGAGGGUGCGAGCGUUAAUCGGAAUUACUGGGCGUAAAGCGUGCGUAGACGGUUAUUUAAGUCGGGUGUGAAAGCCCCGGGCUCAACCUGGGAAUUGCAUUCGAGACUGAAUAGCUAGGGUACGGUAGAGGGAAGUGGAAUUUCCGGUGUAGCGGUGGAAUGCGUAGAGAUCUGCAAGAACACCCGUGGCGAAGGCGGCCAGCUGGGCCGGAUCCGACGCUGAGGCGCGAAAGCGUGGGGAGCAAACAGG